Long non-coding RNA from Thalassophryne amazonica, 212 nucleotides. RefSeq lists it as uncharacterized. The record is from RefSeq and is a predicted model, not a curated record. The transcript has 3 exons. Lineage: Eukaryota; Metazoa; Chordata; Actinopteri; Batrachoidiformes; Batrachoididae.
AUUUUUCUCCUAUAGACCUCAGAUCAGCAGACUUACUGCUUACAACAACAACUCAUCAGACCCACUGAGAACCCACCUUCAUCAAUUUUGGACUCAAACUUUGUAAAAUAAUCCCUACAGAUCUGUAGAAUGAAACAUCAGUUAAGAUUUUGUAAUUGAUUGGUUAAACUCUAUAUUCAAAAUGAUCUUUUAUUUGCCCACAUUAUGAACAA